RNAcentral lists this ribosomal RNA (414 nucleotides) under Acinetobacter sp. BR-12. RNAcentral's name for it is "bacterial SSU rRNA". It matches the Rfam family "Bacterial small subunit ribosomal RNA", at positions 320 to 723 of the family's 1533-position model. The record is from RNAcentral. Lineage: Bacteria; Pseudomonadati; Pseudomonadota; Gammaproteobacteria; Moraxellales; Moraxellaceae.
UGAGACUCGGCCCAGACUCCUACGGGAGGCAGCAGUGUGGGAAUAUUGGACAAUGGGCGCAAGCCUGAUCCAGCCAUGCCGCGUGUGUGAAGAAGGCCUUAUGGUUGUAAAGCACUUUAAGCGAGGAGGAGGCUACUUUAGUUAAUACCUAGAGAUAGUGGACGUUACUCGCAGAAUAAGCACCGGCUAACUCUUGUGCCAGCAGCCGCGGUAAUACAGAGGGUGCAAGCGUUAAUCGGAUUUACUGGGCGUAAAGCGCGCGUAGGCGGCUAAUUAAGUCAAAUGUGAAAUCCCCGAGCUUAACUUGGGAAUUGCAUUCGAUACUGGUUAGCUAGAGUGUGGGAGAGGAUGGUAGAAUUCCAGGUGUAGCGGUGAAAUGCGUAGAGAUCUGGAGGAAUACCGAUGGCGAAGGCA